Molecule: non-coding RNA, 280 nt
Organism: Paramuricea clavata
Lineage: Eukaryota; Metazoa; Cnidaria; Anthozoa; Malacalcyonacea; Plexauridae
Source: the annotation of a GenBank genome assembly
AUGCGUAAUGCAGUCUAAUGCAGUAUCCAACAAAGGUGAACCCCGGAAAAUCCUGGGUGGGAAAAAUCUGACCGUGGCUCGAGCCACUUUUGCCACGGUCUGGAUCCGCGCCUGAAAACUUCAAUAAAUGUUCUCUAAUACCACUGAACAGUAACGCACCUUCGCUGCUUAUUAACUAACAACAGGAAGGGCUGUCAAGAGACCUACAAGACGGGCAUAUUGUCUUCCACGUACUUAAUCUGUCCGUAUCAAAAACGUUCCGUAACUUUAUAAAAUAAUG